RNAcentral lists this long non-coding RNA (2678 nucleotides) under Homarus americanus (American lobster). Its description in RNAcentral is "uncharacterized LOC121874972, transcript variant X4". Lineage: Eukaryota; Metazoa; Arthropoda; Malacostraca; Decapoda; Nephropidae. The record is from RNAcentral.
AAGGAAUGAACUAUAUGGCAGCAUUGAGGUGCAGUGCCUUGCAUAAUUGGCUACAGUGUAAUUCAUGGUGUUAAGGUCGGAAGUCGUGGUGGUGGUGAUGCAGUGGACGACCUAGAGGCUGAUGCUUGUUGUUAGUGGUGGUGGUAAGGCCGCCGGGUGCACUUGCAUUAUAUUGCAGGCCAGAUAUGCAACAUUGGUGCAGUGUGAGCAGGUCUCUCGUGCAGAACGGACCACAUCCCCCCACCACACAACACAACAGCGAAACACCUACAACAACAGUACAACUAUGCAGGACAAACGGGACAACGGAGGAAGAAUGAACGAUAUGGCAGCAUUGAGGUGCAGUGCCUUGCAUAAUUGGCUACAGUGUAAUUCAUGGUGUUAAGGUCGGAAGUCGUGGUGGUGGUGAUGCAGUGGACGACCUAGAGGCUGAUGCUUGUUGUUAGUGGUGGUGGUAAGGCCGCCAGGUGCACUUGCAUUAUAUUGCAGGCCAGAUAUGCAACAUUGGUGCAGUGUGAGCAGGUCUCUCGUGCAGAACGGACCACAUCCCCCCACCACAACAGCGACCAACUUUAUAAGACGGGACAACAGAGGAAGAAUGAACUAUAUGGCAGCAUUGAGGUGCAGUGCCUUGCAUAAUUGGCUACAGUGUAAUUCAUGGUGUUAAGGUCGGAAGUCGUGGUGGUGGUGAUGCAGUGGACGACCCAGAGGCUGAUGCUUGUUGUUAGUGGUGAUGGUAAGGCCGCCAGGUGCACUUGCAUUAUAUUGCAGGCCAGAUAUGCAACAUUGGUGCAGUGUGAGCAGGUCUCUCGUGCAGAACGGACCACAUCCACACAACACAACAACAGCGACCAACUUUAUAAGACGGGACAACGGAGGAAGAAUGAACGAUAUGGCAGUAUUGAGGUGCAGUGCCUUGCAUAAUUGGCUACAGUGUAAUUCAUGGUGUUAAGGUCGGAAGUCGUGGUGGUGGUGAUGCAGUGGACGACCUAGAGGCUGAUGCUUGUUGUUAGUGGUGGUGGUAAGGCCGCCAGGUGCACUUGCAUUAUAUUGCAGGCCAGAUAUGCAACAUUGGUGCAGUGUGAGCAGGUCUCUCGUGCAGAACGGACCACAUCCCCCCACCACAACAGCGACCAACUUUAUAAGACGGGACAACAGAGGAAGAAUGAACUAUAUGGCAGCAUAGAGGUGCAGUGCCUGGCAUAAUUGGCUACAGUGUAAUUCAUGGUGUUAAGGUCGGAAGUCGUGGUGGUGGUGAUGCAGUGGACGACCUAGAGGCUGAUGCUUGUUGUUAGUGAUGGUAAGACCGCCAGGUGCACUUGCAUUAUAUUGCAGACCAGAUAUGCAACAUUGGUGCAGUGUGAGCAGGUCUCUCGUGCAGAACGGACCACCUCCACAUAACACAACAGCAACCAACUUUAUAAGUGUAAUGCAGAGUUAUGCAGUACAGUGGUUUACUUAGGAAAGGAAAUACACUGAUUGACUGCAUGUUCAUCACCAGGUCUUGUAUCUGGUCCUGGGAACACCAAGCAACUCUCCCACAUUUGCUAUUGAAAACUUUGUGGCUCGUAUGAAAGGAGGAAUGCAGCAAAGAUUUGGCCACAACCAAUGCCUCUCCUACCUGCCUCCUCCCACUUGACUCCAUAAAUUGAAUAAAUCCCCAUAAAUCCCCAUUGAAAUUAUAUUGUUAACGUCAAUUAUUCUGAUAUAUGACAAGUUAUUUAAUCUACAGUAUUUCACUUACAAACUAAAUCAUAACAAUAAAACGGACGUUGCAAAAUAACUAACAAAUUCUAUUACAGAAUCGGACACCUACUAUGCAUGUUACCCAGGUAUAGUUCCUCCUUUACCCUGAUUGAUUACACGAGUCCAAGCGGCAGCCAAUCACAAGCUGUGGUUUUCUACGUUAUUCAUUAUCUAUCUGUACUCAUCAAUCUAUAUAUCCCAUUUUCAUUAUUUUAAACCUAUAAGUAUAUCCAUUUUAUAUAUCUCUUCUCUCAGUACACCCUCCCAGCUUGUCUACCCGCCUUCCCCCCUCCCCCUCCUCCCUGCUUCCCCUUCCUUCACUGCAGCCUUGGGUCAUAAACCACUCCUGGGAAAACAUUACAUUUCUUGCCCAUCUGCCAUUGAAAACUUGGUAGCUCGUAUGAAAGGAAGAAUGCAGUAAAGAUUUCGCCAGAACCAAUGUCUCUACCCUUCCCGCCUUCCUGUUGCUGUUCGUACACGUGGUAUUUGACUUUGUUUUAUCGGGUAGAAUGAAUACAAACUACAGAACGAGUCCAAACUUACAGGUCAAUAUUAAGAACUUGUGUAGAUUUUCUUAAUUAUUUAAUACUUACGAAUUAAUUGCCAAUCACAGCCUCUCCUGUAUGUAUGGGCGUUUCUCACUCGCUGUAUUUGCGUUAUUUUUUGUUAGUAUUGUAAUUUUAUUGUAAAUUUUGUUGUUGUAAAGUGUAGUAAUUUAUUAAUCGAUUUAUUUUUACUAUCUUUCCCUGUUGUGUCUAUUUCAUUACCUGUCUGUCAUAUUAUGUCUAUCAUGAAUCAUUAUGUAUAUAUUUCGAUAUAUUCUCAUCACUCUAUAUCUGGAUCCAUAUAAUUGUAUAUAUUUUUUCAUUUCUCAGCAAUAAAUCUGUUUUGUAUGUGAGGCGACGGUCACCAAUAAAACGUCACCUCCCUCU